Molecule: long non-coding RNA, 322 nt
Filed under: Phoenix dactylifera (date palm)
Lineage: Eukaryota; Viridiplantae; Streptophyta; Magnoliopsida; Arecales; Arecaceae
Description: long non-coding RNA (PDAC_LNC012129)
Source: RNAcentral
AUAUGUUUUCCAUUUUGCACAUGAUCCCUAAUAAAAUGAUAUCUUAUUUCUAUGUGUUUGGCUUUAGGAAUGAGAUAUUUAGGAUGUAAGCCAGAAGUGAUCUCUAAAUGUAGAUUCCAAAGAUAGUUUUGAAAUCAAGUGUAGAUGGAAUCUUUUUCAAGUUAUUUCAAGGAGUAUCAAGAAUAAUAUUCAAAGAAAGCACGAAUGAAAAUCCAAUACCCUUUUUUUUUAAUAUAUUAAGUAUAUAGCAACAUGAGAGCAAUCUAAUUAAUUUUUAGAGUAUAGUAUAAGAGCAGAUAAAGAUCAAAACUUAUAUACUCGA